This 1434-nucleotide ribosomal RNA is filed under the name Triticum aestivum (bread wheat). RNAcentral describes it as "partial small subunit ribosomal RNA". Lineage: Eukaryota; Viridiplantae; Streptophyta; Magnoliopsida; Poales; Poaceae. The record is from RNAcentral.
AUGUCGCCUUCGGCCUUGCUCUUCCUGCUCGCCGCCCACCUCGCCGCCGGCGAGACCACCACCUCCACCACGACCCUCACCGCCACCCCGGCGACGCUGACCAAACCAGACCACCACGCAGUCACCCUGCAAUGGUCCAACCUCCCCGACCCGGGCCCGCUCGACUACGUGGCCGUCUACUCCCCGCCGACCUCCGGCGACCUCGACUACCUCGGCUUCCUCCUCCUCAACUCCUCCGCCUCCUGGGCCACGGGCGCCGGCAGCCUCGCGCUCCCGCGCCUGCCCGACCUGCGCGCCCCCUACCAGUUCCGCCUCUUCCGGGGGCCGCCGGGCCAGAACCCGCGCGUUGACCAGGACGGCGACCCGCUCCCGGACGCCAGCCACCGCACCGCCGUCUCGGGCGACGUGGCCCACGAGGGAUCCGGCGCCCGGCCCGCCCAGCUGCACCUGGCGUUCACCGACGAGGCGGACGAGAUGCGGGUGCUGUUCGUGUGCGGCGACGGCGGGACGAGGUCCGUGAGGUACGGGCCCGCCGGCCGGCGCGAGGAGGAGGAGGAGUGGGAGGAGGUGCCGGCGGUGGCGAGCACGUACGAGCGGCGCCACAUGUGCGGCCACCCGGCCAACCACAGCGUCGGGUGGCGCCACCCCGGGUUCGUCUUCGACGGCGUCAUGAAGGCGCUGCAGCCUGGGACCAGGUACUCCUACAAGGUUGGCAAUGAUUCAGGAGGUUGGAGUGAGACACACAGCUUCAUCUCACGCGACGCCGAGGCCAACGAGACCAUCGCAUUCCUCUUCGGCGACCUGGGCACCUACGUCCCUCACAACACCUACUUCCGAACGCCUCAAGAAAGUCUGUCGACCGUGAAAUGGAUCCUCCGCGAUCUCCAAGCCCUCAGCGACAAACCGGCAAUCAUUUCACACAUCGGCGACAUCAGCUACGCCAAAGGUUACGCAUUGUUAUGGGAUCAUUUCUUCGAGCAGAUCGAGCCCAUCGCUGCCAGCACACCAUACCACGUCUGCAUUGGAAACCACGAGUAUGACUGGCCCUCCCAGCCCUGGAAACCCUCCUGGGCAGCAAACGUGUACAACGGGAAGGACGGCGGCGGCGAAUGCGGAGUGCCAUACAGCAUCAAGUUCAGAAUGCCCGGAAACUCUUCCCUCCCCACCGGCACCGACGCCCCCGACACCCGGAACCUCUACUACUCCUUGGACGCAGGUGUUGUCCAUUUCGUUUACAUGUCCACCGAAACAGAUUUUAUCCGUGGCAGUGAUCAGUACAACUACAUAAAGGCCGACCUCGAGCGCGUCAACCGGAGCCGAACGCCGUUCGUCGUGUUCCAGGGCCACCGGCCGAUGUACACCUCGAGCAACGAGGCCAAGGACGCGGCUCACAGGGAGCAGAUGAUCCAGCACCUGGAGCCCCUCUUUGUGUAG